Small nucleolar RNA from Xenopus tropicalis (tropical clawed frog), 127 nucleotides. The record is from Ensembl. NCBI's taxonomy places the organism in Eukaryota, Metazoa, Chordata, Amphibia, Anura, Pipidae.
CUGCACAUUUCAUUGACACACUCCCAGUAUUGUGAUGAGCCGUGUUAUUUCUAAUGUGCUAAAUCAAUAGGAGGCUAAUUAGCAGUGUAAUGGAAUUGUUACCACUGCCAGUCCCCUUCUCACAGCC